ACAGCGGCUUGUAAAGCCUGGAGACUCUGGUUGUCCGUAGGACAACCUAGCUGUUCCUGAAAUGGAAUGGGAUAGAUUGAAAUCGGAGCCCAGGGUAAGCCGCUUU
Molecule: non-coding RNA, 106 nt
Filed under: unclassified sequences
Description: DUF3800-III RNA
Rfam family: DUF3800-III RNA
Source: Rfam by way of RNAcentral